AUUGAACGCUGGCGGCAGGCCUAACACAUGCAGGUCGAACGGUAACAGGAAGCAGCUUGCUGCUUCGCUGACGAGUGGCGGACGGGUGAGUAAUGUCUGGGAAACUGCCUGAUGGAGGGGGAUAACUACUGGAAACGGUAGCUAAUACCGCAUAACGUCGCAAGACCAAAGAGGGGGACCUUCGGGCCUCUUGCCAUCGGAUGUGCCCAGAUGGGAUUAGCUAGUAGGUGGGGUAACGGCUCACCUAGGCGACGAUCCCUAGCUGGUCUGAGAGGAUGACCAGCCACACUGGAACUGAGACACGGUCCAGACUCCUACGGGAGGCAGCAGUGGGGAAUAUUGCACAAUGGGCGCAAACCUGAUGCAGCCAUGCCGCGUGUAUGAAGAAGGCCUUCGGGUUGUAAAGUACUUUCAGCGGGGAGGAAGGGAGUAAAGUUAAUACCUUUGCUCAUUGACGUUACCCGCAGAAGAAGCACCGGCUAACUCCGUG
Molecule: ribosomal RNA, 490 nt
Filed under: uncultured bacterium
Lineage: Bacteria
Description: partial 16S ribosomal RNA
Rfam family: Bacterial small subunit ribosomal RNA
Source: RNAcentral